GCUCAUCUAAAUCCCUUGUAUCCUGGCCUAGUCGUCAUAAAACUGUAUUCAUCAGCAUUUUUGUGGCAGCCCCCCACCCAGACCCCAACUUCUGCAGUAACUCUCACUGACCCGGAAGCACCGUAGCCCAGUGCUCUUUUAAUCUCAGAUUCACGGCUAACUUACUUUCCUGGUCUGCUAUGUAUGGUAGGGUCCCCUAGAUCAACCUGCCACACCCAUCUAUUUAAAACCGUUGCCUCACAGAGUACAAACUUGUAAAGUCCCUCCCCAGUUCAACCUGUUCAAAUUCUCCACCACUGGCAUGUAAUUAUCUACAUACGUGUUGAUUUCUGAUCACCGCUUUGUUCUCACUACUGGGCUGUUAGGUUUUUGAGGACUCGGGCCUGACUGUCUGUUUAGCAUACACUAAGAAAUGGGGCGAUUAUUUAGGCAGCAAAGCAAAAGUUAAUUCUGGCGUCGAGUCCCCUGAAAGCAUAUGCUGAACAGGGCUAGAGUUUUUCUGAAGACUUGUCUGUGGUUUCUUCAGAUUCCUGUGAGUCCCCCAAAGUUAAGAAUUGCUUGAGGCCCACCUUGAACCCCAGUUCUGAAAAUUCUAUCCUUACUCCCUGUCCCCUUGUUUGUUUAAGACAGAGGUAGCCUGUGUUGCCCAGGCUGGCAUGUUGACACCAGAGAGCCUUCUGUGGGAGGCCAUUAAGACUGCAUUUUGAUCAUGAGUAUAUAGGAUAUGCAUAAAAAAAUCAUUGAUUCAUGUUGUUGCUAGGGGUCAUGACCAUGGUGGGCUGGGAUGGGGGAAAUUAUUCAAAUGCUGAUGGAUGCAUUUUUAUGACUGCCUGACCAAGACAAGAGAGGAAAAGAGCAAGCUGGCCCUGGAGAGCGGGUUUUAGCAUCCCUGAGGUUUUCUCCUGCCUCAGUCUCCCAAGCGCUGAGGUUUCAAGUGCUUCUGUCCCUCUCUUUUCUAAGUUGACUGGACAGCACGCUAUAUAGACUUCUUUCUGACUUAAUCUUUUAAAACCUGUUUGGUUUUGUGUAUACUAGAGUGCCUCUGUUUGGGUGUGUGCACUUGAGUGCAGGUGCAUUUGGAGCCCGGAGGUGUCCGGCAAACCUCUGGGAACUAGUUACGGAUGGUCGUGAGCCACCUGAUGUGGGUGCUGGGGACUGAACUUGGGUCCUACCCGAGAGCAGCACAUACUCUUAACUACUGAGCCAUCUCUCCAGCUCCUUUAAUUUAUUCUUCUCUGUGUGUGUAUGGGGGUAUUUGAGUGUGUGGUGUUUGAGACAGUCUCACGCAGCCAAGACUGGGCUAGGACUCACUGUAUUAUGUAGUAAGGUUGGCCUUGGACUCCCGCCUCCACCUCCUGAGUGGUAGGAUUCUGACCAGCUUUGUUUUUGUCUUUGGAGAGGGUUUGUGUUAUGGUUACUAUUGCUUGUCAAUCCCAAAGAAUCCAGCUAUGAGACCAACCUCUGGGCAUGCCUGUGAGAGAUUUCCUAGACUAGGUUAGUUUCCAGGUACGUCUGUAGGAUUAAGUUGAUUGACUGAACUCCAUUCCAUGGGCUGGAGUCCUGAACAGAAUAGAAGAAGAAAGAGUGAGCUGGGCACUAUCAUUCAUCUCCUUCUGUUUCCCAAACGCAGAUGCAAUGAAGCUGUCUAGUACCUGCUCCUGGUGCCACAACUCCUCACGGUGAUGGGUGAUAGGCUCUACCCUGGAACUCUGAAACAUAGUCAGCCUUCUUUUCCUUAAGCUACUUUGUCUCCUAUUUUGUUGCAACAAGGAGGAGGAAAUCACUCUCCCAGUGGGACACACUGGGUUUUGCAGGCCACAGCUUGCAGUCCGCUUGCCUCAGCUUUCCCAGUAUCUGGGAUCAUAAGCACAUGUCAUAAAUGUGCCAUGACUGGAUAAGACACAGAUCAAGCCACAGAGUGAAGGGAAUCACGGUCCUGGCAGUGACACCGACAUGGAGUGUCAUGUUAAAAUGCUGGCUACAGAGAAGAGCUCGGCACUAAAAACAGAUUCUAUACUCAUGUACAAUACUUCUGUUCUAUGUUUUACAGCUUAAGAGAACUGGAGACGAAUUACAAGCUUGCCUGUGCUUUUAUAUUUCUUUAAUUGAUAUCCCACCCAUUAAAAAUCUGUUGUCUGUGA
This is a non-coding RNA of Myodes glareolus (Bank vole), 2141 nucleotides long. NCBI's taxonomy places the organism in Eukaryota, Metazoa, Chordata, Mammalia, Rodentia, Cricetidae. The record is from RefSeq and is a predicted model, not a curated record.